AUGCAAGACUAUUUUGCGGAGGUACCGACAUACCCACCUCGCCUCUUCCGUAGAAGGUACCGCAUGCGCUGUACUUUGUUUGAGAGAAUCGUCAAAGAUUGCGAGGCCAACUCGCAUUAUUUCACGCACCGUAGAAAUGCUGCCGGCGCCAUGGGAUUUAGUGCAUACCAGAAGAUAUCGGCUGCAAUGCGGGUGCUCGCCUAUGGCAUACCCGCGGACUACUGUGACGAGUAUCUUCGCAUCGGCCAAGAUACUACCACCGAGUCUGUGCGUGGGUUUGCCAAGAUGGUCAUCCGAUUGUAUGGUGAUUGGUAUCUUUGGGCUCCCAAUGAGGAAGAUACGAAGAGGUUGAUGGAGAUAAAUGAAAAAAGGGGAUGUCCGGGCAUGCUUGGCAGUCUAGAUUGCAUGCACUGGAAAUGA
RNAcentral lists this ribosomal RNA (420 nucleotides) under Triticum aestivum (bread wheat). RNAcentral's name for it is "partial small subunit ribosomal RNA". The record is from RNAcentral. Lineage: Eukaryota; Viridiplantae; Streptophyta; Magnoliopsida; Poales; Poaceae.